RNAcentral lists this ribosomal RNA (225 nucleotides) under uncultured Bacillota bacterium. Its description in RNAcentral is "uncultured Firmicutes bacterium partial 16S ribosomal RNA". It matches the Rfam family "Bacterial small subunit ribosomal RNA", at positions 109 to 334 of the family's 1533-position model. Lineage: Bacteria; Bacillati; Bacillota. The record is from RNAcentral.
AGUAACGCGUGGGUAACCUGCCCUGUACUGGGGGACAACAGUUAGAAAUGACUGCUAAUACCGCAUAAGCCUACGGAGUCGCAUGACUCAGCAGGAAAAAUUCUGGUGGUACAGGAUGGGCCCGCGUCUGAUUAGCUAGUUGGUGAGGUAAUGGCUCACCAAGGCGACGAUCAGUAGCCGGCUUGAGAGAGUGAACGGCCACAUUGGGACUGAGACACGGCCCAA